This 404-nucleotide ribosomal RNA is filed under the name Verrucomicrobiota bacterium. Its description in RNAcentral is "Verrucomicrobia bacterium partial 16S ribosomal RNA". It matches the Rfam family "Bacterial small subunit ribosomal RNA", at positions 355 to 776 of the family's 1533-position model. The record is from RNAcentral. Lineage: Bacteria; Pseudomonadati; Verrucomicrobiota.
UGGGGAAUAUUGCACAAUGGGGGAAACCCUGAUGCAGCGACGCCGCGUGAGCGAUGAAGGCUUUCGAGUCGUAAAGCUCUGUCCUAUGGGAAGAUAAUGACGGUACCAUAGAAGAAAGCCCCGGCUAAUUACGUGCCAGCAGCCGCGGUAAUACGUAAGGGGCGAGCGUUGUCCGGAAUUAUUGGGCGUAAAGAGUGCGUAGGCGGCAAAUUAAGUCAGAUGUGAAAACUAAGGGCUCAACCCAUAGAUUGCAUCUGAAACUGAUAUGCUUGAGUCAAGGAGAGAAAAGUGGAAUUCCUAGUGUAGCGGUGAAAUGCGUAGAGAUUAGGAGGAACACCGGUGGCGAAAGCGGCUUUUUGGCCUGCAACUGACACUGAGGCGCGAAAGCGUGGGGAGCAAACAGG